Molecule: long non-coding RNA, 594 nt
Filed under: Pongo abelii (Sumatran orangutan)
Lineage: Eukaryota; Metazoa; Chordata; Mammalia; Primates; Hominidae
Description: lincRNA
Source: RNAcentral
CACUCAGCUUUCUGAAAUGGUGUCCCACCACAAGGACUGGAGAAGGGUAAACCUCAGGUUCUCCUCCUGCCUUUUGCUAAGUAUAUGUCUUGAUGACAAGCCUUCUGCUAAUGAGCUGUGUUUCUGGACCGAUCAUGGUAGAAGUCAAUUGAAGUGUCCCUCACUUGGGGUUUCUUAAGGAAGGACUCUCCGUCUGUCGCCCAGGCUGGAGUGCAGUGGCACAAUCUCGGCUCACUGCAAGCUCUGCCUCCCAGGUUCACGCCAUUUUCCUGCCUCAGUCUCCCGAACAUGCAAGGUCCUCAUGAUUGUCUCAAAACUAUAUAGAAUUGAGAAGCUGCACUGAUGAGGAAACUGAAACAGAAAAUCCAGAGUAAAUUCCACCAGGCCACACAGCAAGGUCUGAUAGAGCCAGGAGAGACUUUAUGAAAUCCAGACUCUCACACUAAUGCUCUAUCAGCUAGACCUCCAUGUGAGUCUCCCCAAUGUAGGUAGGAAGCACUUUCCCUAAAAUGCUCAUAAAGCAAAUCAGAGCAAUGCUUCAUUUCAUGUGAUUUCUAAUUUGAAAUGCAAACAAUUGCCAAUUUGUUUGACUUG